GAGGAAAGAAUUACAUAUUUAAAAAGAUGUAAGUGUUUUAUUGUUCCAUUUUGUCAAGAAGUUAAAAGUAGUUUAUCUUGCAUUAUAAGAUAAAAACGUACGAUAGAUUACAAAAAAAUACGUACUAUAUAUGAUUUACAAUAUUACUCGAUUCAAUUGCUUCCUUUAUUAAAUACAAAUGUCUUGACUUUUCUCGUGUCACACAUCGUAUAAGACAAAUAUCGCUUAAGCUUUGGGAUCUAUGUUCCUAUAAUAACAUCAAGUGGUCUUUAAUAUUUAUCAUGUACCAUCCUCUGUACAUACAUUUAAAAUGGUAAAUUUGUCAGAAGUUGUAGUUUUAAGCUAUAUAUAUUAUAUAUCUUACAAGAAUAUAAUGGUUUCUAUGAUAACUAAUUUACAUCAGGUACUACUUCACUAGCAUAUCUUAUGCUUAUCAACAACUAACGGAGUUUGUCCUUUUAUAUAAUCUUUAUCUUGUAACACUAUCUGAAGCACAAUUAUUUAAACAUUCCUUCAUCUUUGGAAUACAAAAAGCCUCAAUCAAAUGUUUCAUAUAUAAUCUUUAAAAAGGCUUUCUACUGUGCGAGAUUUUUCUGUCCUCAUUAUCAAAUAUAAAUUGUAAAAUAUGUUAUAUUAUAUUUUAUAAUGAUAGAGGUAUGCGAAUAAAAAACCUCACUAUAAAUAACUAAUACAUAUAAAUGAACAGAAAAAUGUCACAUAAAUUUGAAUCCAGCAAUAUUAACAGCAGAUUGAGUAAAUGAUAUAUAUUCAAGAUCAAAUAACAAUGUAAAUAUUGGUCAAAUAUAUAUAUCGUGUGUUAAAUAAAUUGUCUUAAAUUCUGUUUUUAGCAACAUGCAGGGGCUGUAGAUAUUACUAGAUAAAUAUUUCAGAUCAAGACAGUGUAAAGCGUGUUUAAAUCUUCCAGAAAUGCAACUGGGCCCUCUUUACAGCAAUUAUAGAUGGAGCAAAGUAUGGUAGCAAGUUAUAUAGAUAUACACACAUGCCGAAGAAGAUUGUAAUAUCUGGAGAAAACAUUUCCUUCGUCAAGAAAUAGACACCGUUACACUGGUCUACGUAACAUUCCUGUUAUAGAUGAUUGAUAUAUUUAAGUGCUUUUAAGAAUAGUGUUUGAAUGUCGAAUUUCUGUGAAUACGGAUUUUUAGUUUUAAUGGUUAUUAUUAAAACUUUCUGUUAUAAUCAAUUUGUGCUAUGGACUCAUUUUCCUAAAAUAAUAUGUGAAUGUUAACACGAAAAAAAUGAUAUUAAUAUCUUUAAAAUGUUUUAUGGGUGUAAUAAAAGUGGCUCAUAAAAAUCAUUGUUAAGAUAAACAGAAAAGAACUUCAAGUUGGUAUAGUUUGUUCUAGAUUUAAACAACAUGCAAUUCAUAAAGGAUACGGCUUGAAAAUAUCGAAACAUGUACAUGUAUAAUUCAAUCUUUGAAGAAAAUAUCGCGGUGAGGAUGUUUUGUACUGUGAUACGUAUUACAUGACUCUGUAUCGCAACAUACCGGUAUAUCGCUAUUCCGUUGCAACGCUACAUUAAUGUGUUCCUCUAGAAUAAGGCUUACAACAAUAUAU
Long non-coding RNA from Ruditapes philippinarum (Manila clam), 1577 nucleotides. RefSeq lists it as uncharacterized. The transcript is spliced from 3 exons. The record is from RefSeq and is a predicted model, not a curated record. Lineage: Eukaryota; Metazoa; Mollusca; Bivalvia; Venerida; Veneridae.